This 348-nucleotide ribosomal RNA is filed under the name uncultured soil bacterium. RNAcentral's name for it is "bacterial SSU rRNA". It matches the Rfam family "Bacterial small subunit ribosomal RNA", at positions 26 to 379 of the family's 1533-position model. The record is from RNAcentral.
AGAUUGAACGCUGGCGGCAUGCCUUACACAUGCAAGUCGAACGGCAGCACGGGAGCAAUCCUGGUGGCGAGUGGCGAACGGGUGAGUAAUACAUCGGAACGUGCCCAAUCGUGGGGAUAACGCAGCGAAAGCUGUGCUAAUACCGCAUAAGAUCUACGGAUGAAAGCAGGGACCGCAAGGCCUUGCGCGAAUGGAGCGGCCGAUGGCAGAUUAGGUAGUUGGUGGGUAAAGGCUCACCAAGCCUUCGAUCUGUAGCUGGUCUGAGAGGACGACCAGCCACACGUGGGACUGAGACACGGCCCAGACUCCGAGGGAGGCAGCAGGUGGGGAAUUUGGACAAGUGGGACG